This is a long non-coding RNA of Nilaparvata lugens (brown planthopper), 1432 nucleotides long. RefSeq lists it as uncharacterized. The transcript is spliced from 3 exons. NCBI's taxonomy places the organism in Eukaryota, Metazoa, Arthropoda, Insecta, Hemiptera, Delphacidae. The record is from RefSeq and is a predicted model, not a curated record.
UAGCAUCAAGAGUCAUACCUAGGUAUUUAGCUUGAUUUUCAUGUGGUAUAUUAAUUCCAUUGAUGUUGAUUGGAAGGUACACAGCUCUCUUGUUGGUGAAGUUAACAUGAAUCGACUUUUCCUCAUUGAGCUUCAUUCUCCACUUUUUGGUCCAGUCUUGUAUCUUGUUGACAGAUCUCUGAAGCUUCGCUGUUGCAAUACCAACAUCACUGUCUACUGCUAGUAGGGCGGUGUCAUCUGCGAACGUGGCUGUGGUAUUCUCCUCCAAAUUAGGGAUAUCACUAGUGAAGAGAAGAUAAAGGACUGGUCCUAAAACACUUCCUUGCGGAACUCCUGCUUUUAUCUCUCUUAGAUCAGAAUAUGAAUCUUCAUAUUUGACUCUAAAGUACCUUCCUGUCAAAUAUGAUUGCAAUAUUUCUGUAAAUUGCUUAGGAAGCAUUUUCUUCAGUUUAUAAAGAAGUCCCUCAUGCCAUACUUUGUCAAAAGCUUGCCCUAUGUCGAGAAAAACUGCUGAACAAACCUUUUUUUCUUCCAAGCUCUUCUCUAUUAUAUUAACUAUCCUAUGUACUUGAUCAAUUGUGGAGUGUUUUUUUCUGAAACCAAAUUGAUGAUUAGGAAUUAAUUGCUUUCUCUCAAUUAUUGGCUUGAGUCUACUCAAUAAUAUCCUCUCAAACAACUUUGAUAACACAGGUAACAAUGAAAUUGGUCUGUAUGAAGCUACUUCAUGUGGUUCUUUUCCUGGCUUGAGUAACAUUAUAACUUCAGCUACUUUCCAGACUCCUGGUACAAAUCUGAGUCUGAAUGAAGCAUUCAGGAUGUUUGUUAGCUUGAUGAGUGCUUUCCUUGGUAGAUGCUUCAGGACUAAGCCAGUUAUCAGGUCAAAUCCUGGAGUUUUCUUAGCAUUCAUAAGUUUUAUUUCCUUUCUCACUUCUUCUACUGAGACAUUCAUUAGUUCUUGAUUUUCCUGCAUGAUGUUACCUUCAAUUUCUAGAUCUUCUUGAGCUGCAACGUUUGGCUGGAAGACAUUCACAAGAUGAUCAGCAAAUGCCUGUGCCUUUUCUUCAUUAUUCUUGGCCCAUUGUCUAUUCAGUUUCCUAAUAGGGGGAACUUGUUGGAUGGGUGUUUUUAUUUUCUUAGAAGCCUUCCAUAGUGAGUAAUCAGUGUUGCCUUGUCCUGUCAAAUUACUCAAGUAACUGUUGAUUGAUUCAUUUUUAAUAAACUGUAUCUCUCUUUUCAGUUCCUGUGUGAGAGUAUUCAGUAAUCUUUUAUCUUGAGGAGAACGUGAAUGCUGCCACCUCCUUCUAGCUCUUCUUUUCUCUGCAAUCAUUUCUCUUAUUUCCAAUGGAUAAUUAUUUCCUACUGUUCUUCGUUUCCUAGUCUGCGGAGUAUUACACCAGGCUGCCUGUUGUAUAUCAGUAACAAAUUUUUCCAG